RNAcentral lists this transfer RNA (67 nucleotides) under Acanthochitona mahensis. Its description in RNAcentral is "tRNA-Ser". Lineage: Eukaryota; Metazoa; Mollusca; Polyplacophora; Chitonida; Acanthochitonidae. The record is from RNAcentral.
AAGUCAUUUCCUUGGGACAAGUUGUUUUGAAAACAACCAAAAAGUGCUCGUUACACUUAAUGACUUA